Molecule: unclassified non-coding RNA, 336 nt
Filed under: soil metagenome
Description: partial contains 5.8S ribosomal RNA, internal transcribed spacer 2, and large subunit ribosomal RNA
Rfam family: 5.8S ribosomal RNA (bases 1-120)
Source: RNAcentral
GAUGAAGAACGUAGCGAAAUGCGAUAAGUAGUGUGAAUUGCAGAAUUCAGUGAAUCAUCGAAUCUUUGAACGCUCAUUGCGACCCUUGGUAUUCCAUGGGGCAUGCCUGUUCGAGCGUCAUUUGUACCUUCAAGCUUUGCUUGGUGUUGGGUGUUUGUCUCGCCUUUGCGUGUAGACUCGCCUUAAAAUAAUUGGCAGCCGGCGUAUUGAUUUCGGAGCGCAGUACAUCUCGCGCUUUGCACUCAUAACGACAGCGUCCAAAAGUACAUUUUACACUCUUGACCUCGGAUCAGGUAGGGAUACCCGCUGAACUUAAGCAUAUCAAUAAGCGGAGGA